AGUCCCUGUAGUAUAUUAAUUAUUCUGGUCUUGUAAGCCAGCGAAGAGG
This 49-nucleotide transfer RNA is filed under the name Afronycteris nanus (Banana bat). RNAcentral describes it as "partial tRNA-Thr". Lineage: Eukaryota; Metazoa; Chordata; Mammalia; Chiroptera; Vespertilionidae. The record is from RNAcentral.